GGAGGGCGCAAGCGUUGUUCGGGAAUUACUGGGGCGUAAAGGGCAGGUAGGUGGUCUGUUAAGUCUUCUGUGAAAAUCCGGGGGCUCAACCCCGCGAAAUGCAGGUGAAACUGGCAGACUUGAGACCUGUAGAGGCUAGCGGAAUUCCUGGUGUAGCGGUGGAAUGCGUAGAUAUCAGGAAGAACACCUGUGGCGAAGGCGGCUAGCUGGGCCGGUUCUGACACUGAACUGCGAAAGCGUGGGGAGCAAACAGGAUUAGAUACCCUGGUAGUCCACGCCGUAAACGAUGGGCACUAGAUGCCGGGCAUAUAGACGUGUUCGGUGUCGUCGCUAACGCAUUAAGUGCCCCGCCUGGGGAGUACGGUCGCAAAGGCUG
RNAcentral lists this ribosomal RNA (376 nucleotides) under uncultured organism. RNAcentral describes it as "partial 16S ribosomal RNA". It matches the Rfam family "Bacterial small subunit ribosomal RNA", at positions 527 to 896 of the family's 1533-position model. The record is from RNAcentral.